AUUGAACGCUGGCGGCAUGCCUUACACAUGCAAGUCGAACGGCAGCACGGGAGCAAUCCUGGUGGCGAGUGGCGUACGGGUGAGUAAUAUAUCGGAACGUGCCCAGUCGUGGGGAUAACGUAGCGAAAGCUACGCUAAUACCGCAUACGAUCUAUGGAUGAAAGCGGGGGAUCGCAAGACCUCGCGCGAUUGGAGCGGCCGAUAUCAGAUUAGGUAGUUGGUGAGGUAAAGGCUCACCAAGCCGACGAUCUGUAGCUGGUCUGAGAGGACGACCAGCCACACUGGGACUGAGACACGGCCCAGACUCCUACGGAGGCAGCAGUGGGGAAUUUUUGGGACAAUGGGACGCAAGCCUGAUCCAGCAAUGCCGCGUGCAGGAUGAAGGCC
This 387-nucleotide ribosomal RNA is filed under the name uncultured bacterium. Its description in RNAcentral is "bacterial SSU rRNA". It matches the Rfam family "Bacterial small subunit ribosomal RNA", at positions 30 to 416 of the family's 1533-position model. The record is from RNAcentral.